RNAcentral lists this RNase MRP RNA (254 nucleotides) under Daucus carota subsp. sativus. Its description in RNAcentral is "SRP RNA RNase_MRP". It matches the Rfam family "RNase MRP". From Rfam's summary of the family: RNase MRP is an enzymatically active ribonucleoprotein with two distinct roles in eukaryotes. In mitochondria it plays a direct role in the initiation of mitochondrial DNA replication. In the nucleus it is involved in precursor rRNA processing, where it cleaves the internal transcribed spacer 1 between 18S and 5.8S rRNAs. The record is from Rfam by way of RNAcentral. Lineage: Eukaryota; Viridiplantae; Streptophyta; Magnoliopsida; Apiales; Apiaceae.
GGACCAGAAGACGACGUGAGUGGGCGAGUGGGCUUGGGGCUGAUUUUGUUGGUCCGGCCCAGGAAAGUCCCCGGGCUUUUAUCUGCAGAGAUGCAGGCCCGGAAACGGGUGAAAGUUGAUGUUGAAAUCUAAAUCUCUAUUGGGCUGAGACGAGGUGGAGCUUUAGAUUUGGACACAAUUAAAUUUGGCCGAUACACAGUUAUUCACGUGGUCCAUUAUUGGAUUAACUGAACGGGGCUUACAAUCUUCUGGUC